UCGGGGUAGGCUUGGCUGCGAGCACCUCGCACUGCUCCUCGAUUAUAGGAUCUCCCGCAGGAUCUACUGGUGGUGCUACUAGAAUAGCUCUAGGAUGCCCUCGUCCCCUACCUCGGGCUGGUGCCCUCCCUCGGCCUCUACCUCGGCCUCUAGCAAUGGGAGGAGAAGCUCCUCCCGAGUCUGGAACAUCAGCCAUGCGUGUCCUCUAUGAGAGAAUAGAAGAAGGAAAUUUAGUAUACCAACCACUGCACGACAGAAGAGGGAGAUUUAGUAUACCAAGACGUCUCCAUACCGAUCCGCAAGACUAUUAGGUUUGCCCAUGACUUGUGAGAUCUACGUAAACCUAGUGCUCUGAUACCAUGUUGUCACGACCCAUUUUUCCAUAAUAGGUCAUGAUGGUGCCCAACACCGUUGUCAGGCAAGCCAAUGCAGAAGUAUUAGUGAAUUCUUAUUUUACUUACCCAAACAGUUACAACAUUUUUCUUAAUUUUCAAUUAAAAGCAGGCACAUUCAGUAAUAAUUAUACAAUCCAAAAGAAACGUCUACUAAUGUGUGUGCCAAGACCUGGUGUCACAAACCGUGGAAAACUAGUAGAAUAUACAAAAUAAUACAUCUAUCCUACUGUCUGAAACAGAAUAGACAGUCAAAAGUAAGGAAUACUCCAUCCAGCUGUUGAUCGGCACAGGCAGGGAAACAGCUCACCGUGGAAGUCUCGGUCUAUGAUCAGGGACGCACACCGGUCUGAUAGUCAGAUGAACCUGCCUUAGAAACUAUACAAUUAAGUACCAGAAGCAUAGCAUGAGUACAUAGACAAUAUGUACCCAGUAAGUAUCCCGUCUAAUCUCGAAGCACGAGAGGUCGACUUGAUACAUAUUAGGGCCAAAUAAUAUAAUACGAUAUUAUGCCAGGCGUGAUGGUCACAAAAUAUAACAGUUGAAAUAAGUAUUUCUAAGUCAUGUCAUUUUAAUGCCCCAGUUAAUCCUUUACAAUUUAAGCCAUGUAUCAAGCAGGUCAUCAAUAAUAAAUUCACAUAAAUAUCAUGCGCAUGUUAUGCAGAGGUCGACGGCCCGAUCCAACAUAAAAGAAAUUAUGCACUGCCAGAGGGUCGAAUGACGCGAACCAUAGAUGCAUCUAUUUCUACCGAGGCGAUCGGCCUGAUCCACAAAUAUCAAUUAUCAACAGAAAAAUACAAGAAGGCGCAUUUAUAUUCAAACAAACUCAUACCAGUGUUCAACACAACAUAUGUUCACUUAUGUUCAUUUCCAAUUCUCUAGCAUAUCCUAAAUGAUCACAUUAGCAAGAUGACAUAUAACAUUUGCAAAUAUAGCAUGACACGAGUCCUAAACUACCCGGACAAUUAACAUGAUAGUAGUUACGCACGGACUCUCGUCACCUAGUGCGUACGUAUCCCCCGUAUUUAGUAUCAAAUUAUACAAUCAUUACUCCUAUGGGGACAAUUCCCUCUUACAAGGUUAGAAAGGAGACUCACCUCGCUCCAAAGUGCUCUUCCAAUACUAAGAACGAGCCCGAACUCUCAAUUUGAAGCCAAACGAUCCAAAACUAGUUAAAUGGGGUAAGGACUAGUCAAUACAAGCUCAUAAGACCACAUUCUAACUAUUAAAGAAAUUCCCAACCUUAAACACAAGUUUCCUAAAAUUCGACCCCGGGCCUACGCGCCCGAGUUCCGAAAUUUUUCGAAGAAAGUUGUUCUUUGUAACCUAAGGAUCAAUAAUAUAUAAUUUUUAUUUCGCUUCAUACCUAAUUUCGUGGAAAAAUCUAAGUUUUAUCAAAACCAUAGGUUUUUGCUCUAACCCCAUGAUUUUACCUAAAUCAUAGUGUUUAAUCUACCUAAGACACAAGUAUUAAACUAAGAAUAGGUGAGAUAAGCUUACCUCAAGAUGCUAGCUGGAGGUCUUCUCUCAAAAGCUCCCAAAAUCGCCAAUAGAGGAGUGAAAAUGGCAAAAAUACUUAGAACCCGUAUUAAAUGAAGCUCACUGCUUCAGCGAUUUCCGCAUCUGCAGUCCUGCUUCUGCGAGAAAUUGGGUGCAUCUGCGGAACCAACCAAGUGGGCUGCGACCGCUUCUGCGGUCUUGAAGCCGCUUCUGUGGUUUUGGGCCUGGCCUACCUUGGUCGCAUCUGCGAUAGGCGAAAAACUGCAGGUGCGAUUAUGACAGAAGCAGAUGCUUCAACACUUCUCAACAUUUCCAACUUCACUCAAGCCUUGUCCGAUUGACGCUAGGGGCUCCCGGGCCUCGCCCAAACAUGCCAACAAGUCUGAAUCAUGAAACGGACCUACUCGAACCUUCGGAACACCCGAAACAAUGUUAAAUCUAAGAAUCACCCCCUAAAACCAAUUGAGUCAAACUUAUGAACUUCAAGUUUUUAAUUUUCCUCGAACGAGCCGAAACGCCCUUAAACUACUUGGAUUGACACCAAAUUUUGCGGGCAAGUCUUAAAUGUUAUAUUGGACCUGUAUCAGGCUCCGGAACCAACAUACGAGCCCGAUACCCAUGUGAUCAAUCAUUAUUUAGUUUUUUUUUUAAAUCCUUAGAAUUUCAGUUUAACAAUUUCUAAUAAAAAAUUCAUUACUCGGCCUAAGGACCUCGAAAUUCGAUUCCGGGCAUAUGCCCAGGUCCCAUAUUUUCCUACGGACCCUCCGGGACCAUCAAACCACGAAUCCGGGUCCGUUUGCUCAAAAUGUUGAGCAAAGUCAAACUUAGCCUUUUAAGAAAAUCUUAAGGAAUCAAAUGAGCAUAUUUCAACCCAAAUUCUUCCAAUUCCCGAACCAACUAUCCCCGCGGGUCGUAAAUUAGUUAAAGCAAGUGCAUGAUGUUUUAUUUAGGGGAAUGGGGUUCUAAAAAGCAAAACAACCAGUCGGGUCGUUACACUUUUGGUUAGGGAUUAUAUGGAGCUGGGUAAGGAUGGACAUUUCUGGGAGGUGGAGCUCGAUUUUGUGUAUAAUAUUGUAGCCGCGGGUAAGGUUGCGCAUUCAUCACCGCAUAAGGAGGUGGUGCCGGCAUAAGCAACAUCUUGAAGGGGAUAAUAGUGUGGUGGGACCAUAGGAGUCACAUAUGAUUGGCUAAAUGACCUAUGGGCCCCCUCGAGCUUGAAACCUCAUGGCUCCAUCUUCAAACCCAUUUCUGUUCAUCAAAGCCUCCGAACCAUUCUGAGCAGCCUGUGAUGUGGCCUUAAAGGCAUCAUGACUCAAGAUUUGCCCUGUUUCUAAACCGUUUCAACCAUUUCCCCAAUUUUGAUAGCCUCAGCAAACGGCUUUCCCAUAACGGACAUCAUGUUCUGGAAGUAGUUCGCCUCUUGGGUCUGUAGAAAGAUAGUGACCAUUUCAAUUUCACCCAUUGGAGGCUUUAUCCUGCCAGCUUGCUCACGCCAUUUGACAGCAUAUUCGUGGAAGCUUUCCGCGGUUUUCUUUUUCAAAUUGGUCAAAGAGUUUCUGUCGGGAGCGAUGUCCACAUUAUACUGGAACUGGCGGAUAAAAUCUCGGGCCAUGUCGUCCCACACAUGCCAAUAAGUAAUUUCUUGAUCCGUAUACCACUCAGAAGCAAUUCCGGUGUGGCUUUCCCCAAAAUAGGCCAUUAGCAACUCCUCUUUUCCACCAGCGCCUCUCAACUAGUUACAUUAUCGUUUCAGAUGAGCGAUCGGGUCUCCGUGCCCAUCUUACUUUUCAAAUUUUGGCAUCUUGAAGCCAGUCGGCAAGUGGAUAUGGGGAAACAUACAGAGGUCAUAGUAUGAGACACUUUUUUGGCCACUCAGACCUUGCAUGUUUUACAGGCUUUGUUCGAGGCUUUUCAUCUUCCGAGCCAUUUCCUUUUGCUCGGAAUUUUUAAUAACCUUUUCUUGCUCCACCAAGAGAUCAUAUUGCGGGGGUUGAGUGAAAGAGAACGGGGUCACAUAUUAUAUUUUUGAUUGAAGUUGUGGACCCUGAAAGGUUAACAUUAGAGACUCAAUAUACGACCGUGGUAAGGUUGGUUGUGUUUUGGUGCAGACUGGUGCUGCAGAGAACAAUAUUGGAGGUGCCCUGGAAAUUGGCGCCUGGGGGCGAACCACAGAAGGCAUGCCAAGAUUAUUGGAGGGCAUUGGAGGGUGCCCACAUGGGAUGAGCGGGUUGGGCACAUGGGCGUUGGUAAUCUCACCUGACCUGGGGAUCAAUUCAAGGAACCCAAGGAUUGCACUUGGCAGUUCCAUACCAUUAGACCAGGCGUCCCACAUUUUCAAUAUGCGAAGAAGCAACAUCUUAUUCUCUUUAGCAGCUGCUGAUUCUAGCUGCAAAAUAGCCAAUGCCGGGCUAUCCUCAGGACCGAUGGUUGGUAGAUUGCUUGCGAAGGCCAUCUGUGCCUUUAGAUCUUGUGAAGGAGGGAGGCUAGACUACCAACAAAACCAACCACCAAAGCCUGGCUAAUUUGUAUACCCAACAACCUUGUUAGUUUUGAAACGCUUAACAGAUAGGAAAUCGCACGUUUGGAUGCAAUGCACCUAAAUAGUUAAACGUUUCUAUCAUGUGUUUGAACGGUUGCAUGUUUCAUCCCGACCUUAGUUAACCCUUUCAGUAUGUAUCCCUUUUCUUUUAUUUCUGUCUCUAUUUAAUCACUCUUGAUUUGAUUUUUUUAUUUUGUUUCUGUCGCUCUUUUAUUUUUUGGCACUCUCUUUUUUUCACUUUUUUUUUCUCAAUUUUUCUUUCUCUUUUUUUUUUCAGUUUAUUUUUCACUCAGUUAAUUUUAUGGCUAUGAUCGAAUCCGAUGAGGAUUGCCAACAUAUCAUGUCGCCGCAUGAAUCAGAUCUUGCGUAGUUCGGGAAGAUCGAAAUGAAGUAAAUAAACUAACUUUUUUUCGGUUGGAAUUUUUGAAAGAACUUUAAAAAGAAGAAAGGAAAUAUUUUUUUUUGAUUUUUUGAUUUUGAUUUUUGUUUUAUUUUUGAAAGAAAGACUUUUAAAAAUUCAUUUGAUUUUGAUUUGAACUUUGGGAAUUUUAAAAGUAAAAAGAAAAUAUUUUUGUUUGAUUUUCAUUUGUUUUCUCUUUUUCUAAAGCAGAAAGAAAAUAUUUUUGGAUUUUGGAUGUUGCCUCUCGACUUUCGAAAGAGGGNNNNNNNNNNNNNNNNNNNNNNNNNNNNNNNNNNNNNNNNNNNNNNNNNNNNNNNNNNNNNNNNNNNNNNNNNNNNNNNNNNNNNNNNNNNNNNNNNNNNNNNNNNNNNNNNNNNNNNNNNNNNNNNNNNNNNNNNNNNNNNNNNNNNNNNNNNNNNNNNNNNNNNNNNNNNNNNNNNNNNNNNNNNNNNNNNNNNNNNNNNNNNNNNNNNNNNNNNNNNNNNNNNNNNNNNNNNNNNNNNNNNNNNNNNNNNNNNNNNNNNNNNNNNNNNNNNNNNNNNNNNNNNNNNNNNNNNNNNNNNNNNNNNNNNNNNNNNNNNNNNNNNNNNNNNNNNNNNNNNNNNNNNNNNNNNNNNNNNNNNNNNNNNNNAAAGGAAACCUGCAUUUUGGAUUUUGAUUUUUUUAAUUUUGUUUUUUCUUUUCUUAUGAUUUUUUUCGUAUGAAAGACUUUAGAAAGAAGGAAACUAUUUUUUUGAGUUUUUAAAAAAAACUUCUCUUUUUUUGAAUUUUCUAAGGAAAGAUUUCUAAAGAAGCACUAAAGGAAAAUAUUUUUGGAUUUUUUUAAAAUUGGGGCUGGAACCAAUGAGAUUUGCCUCGUAUCUCACAUCCGGUGAGAAUCAGACCCACGUAGUUCAGUCAGUUUUGAUGGAACAGGGAAACAUGACACUUGAAAAUUUGGCUCAUUUUGAAAUGACUUUUUUCUUUAGAAUUUUGGAAGAGUUUCAGGAUUUUCAAAUACAAACCUCACUCUUGUUUUGUUUUUUGUAUUUUUUCUUUCCCUAUUCUAGAAGCUGGUCAACAUGCAAGCCGAAUCAAACAAAUGCGCAAGUAGCACGUAAGAUGCAUCAGAAUGGUCUUUUAAUUUUGGGUACACUUGUCCUAGACGGACCCAACCACUGUGUUGAGUCCCCAAAGUCAAAUGCACGUGAUGUAAACAAACGUUCCUACUAGGGAUCCGGCAUGAGGAUGAGUUAUUCUAAGUUUAAAAAUCUGGGUGUAUUGUUCUAAACCUGGUGUACCCGAGCGUACAACUCGAGUCGAUGGGGGGUUACGUACUGGGAACCAAAAGGUCAUCCAGCUUUGUAACUUGUCCGAACCUCUUUCUAAAAUGGGGUAUGACACUAACAUAAAAGAAGUCACGCCAGCGUGCACUUCCUCGAAUAUGAGAAGAGAAGGGUUACGCAGCAGUUUAUAUAUAGUUCAAAUAAUAUCAAAGCGAUAAAAGACGAAUUUAGCACAUUAGGCCCAAACAUGUAAUAAAAGUCAGAUAAUAUAUAAAAGCCAAUUAUAACAGUUAUUCUAAGCUCGAAUUCUUCAACCCUGAACCAGAAGUUCUGGAUUUUUAUCCACAACAGAGUCGCCAAAGCUGUCACACCUCCUUUUUAUCCACCCGUGGUGGGAUAUAAGGGAGUUUUUCCAAUUAAAGUGACAUUAAUCGAAAUGAGAUUAUUUAAUUUAUUAGGGUCGCCACUUGGAAUAGUUUAAUUGGCGUCCAAAGUCACUGGUUUAUUUUAAAAUCCCAAAUCGAGGAAAUUUUGACUUUAUUUUUAAAGUCUGCGAACCAGAAAUUCUAAGGAAUUCUGUUAACCCGAGAGAAGGUGUUAGGCAUUUCUGGGUUCCGUGAUUUGAGCACGGUCGCUUAAACUAUUAAUUAUUGGCCUAUUAUCAAAUUUACUACACAUUUUAAACCUAUUGUGCAUUUUUAACUUUAUAACCGCUUUUGAUUAUUUUAUGGAAUUAUUCUGGAACAAAUUACGAUUAUCGUACACUUGUUUGUUUGAUACACAUUGCGAAUCAUGUCACGGGAACCGUACCCACGAUCUACAAGAUGUUUAAUUUAUUAAAGUUAUUAGAAGUUGUGGGGGUUCACAUAAAUGUACCCCCAGAUUUGGAAAUUAGUUAUCACAACUACAUUACGGGAACCGUAUCAUGGCCACGAUGAUUUUAUCAAUCGCGCCUAAAGCAAACUACGAUAUUCAUGAGUUAUUUUCCUAAACUACUUCAAGAUUAUUGUGAAAACCCAGAGUUAUGGAAAUCAUUUGUGGAUGAAGUGUAGAUUUUUAUUUCACCCGGUUUGUAUUUGAGUCCGAAUCCUAAUUCUUGUUGUGACUUAUUAAAUCUAAAAGCCCAAAAUAUCAUUAAUCUCACUUUAAUAUUACAAGACCCAAUGGCUCUAAUAUACCACAGAUAAUGAGAAUGACUAGUUCACACUUGCCAAAAUAUUUUUUUGGAAUCCACAAACAACAGACAAAGAGUAAAUAGAAUAACAGAAUACUAUAGGUUGACGAAACAAGAUAAGAAGACAAAUUGGAUUAAAUUUUGACACAAAUAUUGACUAAAGGUUGGUCCAACAGCUUCAUUAGACGCCGAAAUUAUCCCAAUCCAAGAAACUUAGUUCGAUUAAAAAACAUUAGGAAGAAUGAGCCAAAACCACAUUUCAAAUAACUCAUAAAUGAAGUUAUAAUAAAGAUAAGGAUAAGGGUGUGGACCUGUGAGAUGAACUAUCACUCAAUUUGGUGUUCGAAAAGUUAUACACUUGAAGACAAUGCUCAAAGCUCAACCAAUUGCUACAAAAUCCAAAGACAAGGACCAACAUGCGAAUUUUGAACCCCGACGGCACAUCAAACUUAAUUAGGGAUGACUGGUUUAACGACUUAUGCUGGAUUUCAUGAAGUUGCUAAAGCAAAGAAAGGAGAAAAAGUAUUUGUAUCGGUGGCACCAGAUGCAGUUGGGCAGCUCGUUGGCCAAUUUGCUAAAUUGAUGGGUUACUAUAUUGUUGGAUGUGCUGGGAGUCGGAAGAUGGCAGAAGUGGGUUGCUAUUAGUGGUUGUUUGCGGCUGAUUUCGUUCGAAGCUAGGGUGGGGAGCUAGGUUUUGAGAUUGAAGGUGUAGUAUUGCUGAUUAAUUCAUUUUGUUCGUGGCAGAUUGGAGAAGGAAGGUUUUUUUGUGAAGAAAGGGGGGUCUCUCUUGUGUAGGUCCAAAAACGGCGGAUUUUUGCUUAGGGAUCUAUGG
RNAcentral lists this long non-coding RNA (8102 nucleotides) under Nicotiana tabacum (common tobacco). RNAcentral's name for it is "long non-coding RNA (NTAB_LNC011667)". The record is from RNAcentral. Lineage: Eukaryota; Viridiplantae; Streptophyta; Magnoliopsida; Solanales; Solanaceae.